Molecule: long non-coding RNA, 293 nt
Organism: Solanum lycopersicum (tomato)
Lineage: Eukaryota; Viridiplantae; Streptophyta; Magnoliopsida; Solanales; Solanaceae
Source: RefSeq, a predicted model, not a curated record
AGUUCUCUCCCGGGCUUCAAGAUCAAGAAAUUCAUUCAACAUUAUUUAAGGAUUCUCAAGGUCCGGAUCAUUGUAGGGAUUCAAGGCAAAACAUUCAAGAAGCUUGUAAAGAUCCCCAAGUUUGAGAGUCCUCAUGUUCGAGGACGAAACCUAUCAAUCUAGUGCUUGAUAUUUGAUUAGUCUAAAGACAACGCUUUAUUCUUUAUCCUUUUGAUACUGGUUAUGUGUGAGAUAACGUAGACUAUUUUCGAUAUAUGAGAACUACACUUGAACUUCAAAUGUCAAGUUUUUAA